CCUCCUUUCUUCCGCCGUGGGGCCUCUUGCCCCCUGGGGGCCCCCCUGCUGCAGCGACGCCGCGUGAGUGAAGAAGUAUUUCGGUAGGUAAAGCUCUAUCAGCAGGGAAGAAGCAAGACGGUACCUGACUAAGAAGCCCCGGCUAACUACGUGCCAGCAGCCGCGGUAAUACGUAGGGGGCAAGCGUUAUCCGGAUUUACUGGGUGGAAAGGGAGCGUAGACGGUAUGGCAAGUCUGAAGUGAAAGCCCAGGGCUUAACCCUGGGACUGCUUUGGAAACUGUUAGACUAGAGUGCUGGAGAGGUAAGUGGAAUUCCUAGUGUAGCGGUGAAAUGCGUAGAUAUUAGGAGGAACACCAGUGGCGAAGGCGGCUUACUGGACAGUAACUGACGUUGAGGCUCGAAAGCGUGGGGAGCAAACAGGAUUAGAUACCCUAGUAGUC
RNAcentral lists this ribosomal RNA (441 nucleotides) under uncultured bacterium. RNAcentral describes it as "partial 16S ribosomal RNA". It matches the Rfam family "Bacterial small subunit ribosomal RNA", at positions 338 to 795 of the family's 1533-position model. The record is from RNAcentral.